UACGUAGGUGGCAAGCGUUGUCCGGAUUUAUUGGGCGUACAGGGCGCGCAGGCGGUUCGUUUAGUCCGAGGUGAAAUCUCCUGGCUCAACUGAGAGAGGUCUUCGGAUACUGGCGGGCUUGAGGAGAGCAGAGGUGAGUGGAAUGCUGGGUGUAGUGGUGAAAUGCGUAGAUAUCCAGCGGAACACCAGUGGCGAAGGCGGCUCACUGGGCUCCACCUGACGCUGAGGCGCGAAAGCGUGGGGAGCGAACCGG
Molecule: ribosomal RNA, 253 nt
Filed under: uncultured bacterium
Lineage: Bacteria
Description: partial 16S ribosomal RNA
Rfam family: Bacterial small subunit ribosomal RNA
Source: RNAcentral